Molecule: ribosomal RNA, 394 nt
Filed under: Testudo horsfieldii (Horsfield's tortoise)
Lineage: Eukaryota; Metazoa; Chordata; Testudines; Testudinidae
Description: partial 12S ribosomal RNA
Rfam family: Bacterial small subunit ribosomal RNA
Source: RNAcentral
GCUCAGCCAUAAACCCAGAUAUUUAACACACAAAAAUAUCCGCCAGAGAACUACGAGCAAAACGCUUAAAACUCUAAGGACUUGGCGGUACCUUAAACCCCCCUAGAGGAGCCUGUUCUAUAAUCGAUAAUCCACGAUCUACCUCACCAUCCCUUGCCAAUACCGCCUAUAUACCGCCGUCACCAGCCUACCCUAUGAAGGACAUAAAAGUAGGCAAAAUAGCACAACAGCUAACAAGUCAGGUCAAGGUGUAGCUUACUGGGAUGGAAGAAAUGGGCUACAUUUUCUAAACUAGAAAUUAUUUACGGAAAGAACUAUGAAACAAGUUCUAUAAGUAGGAUUUAGCAGUAAAUAGGGAUUAGAAUACCCAAUUUAAGCCGGUCCUAAGGUACGC